UGGCUAGUGUUGUUGACUUCGAGCAGCGCGGGCUCCCUUGCACAAGCUGUGCCUUUCGGGGUGGCUUCUUCCUUGCUCCGGUCGUCGGAAAAGCCUAGCUCUGCCUACCUUCUCUGGCUUUAGAGUGCUGCGGCCUAUUCGUCGUCGUUGGAGCGGGCGGAAGUUUAUCUUGGUAGUUGCAUUUUGUUCGUUGGUAGCUUUGUGCCUAGCUUUGUUAGGCUGUUGCUCAGUGUUAGGGCUUUUGUACGGUUUUUCUUAAUAAGUCGUGCUCUUUGGGUCUUCGCCGGUUUUCCCUUAAUUAAUCGAACUUGUAUGGUUUUCGGGUCCGGUUUCCUCAUAAACUGGAUCACCUUUCCCGCAGUCGGAUUCUUUCGGCUACGUCUAUUGACAAUAAAUAACCCGCUGAUGGUUGUUUCAUCAAAAAAAAAAAGUUUCUUUUAGCACUGCCCAGAUUUCCUUAACAUAAUGGC
This 470-nucleotide long non-coding RNA is filed under the name Brachypodium distachyon (stiff brome). RNAcentral describes it as "long non-coding RNA (BDIS_LNC004096)". Lineage: Eukaryota; Viridiplantae; Streptophyta; Magnoliopsida; Poales; Poaceae. The record is from RNAcentral.